Molecule: ribosomal RNA, 226 nt
Filed under: uncultured bacterium
Lineage: Bacteria
Description: partial 16S ribosomal RNA
Rfam family: Bacterial small subunit ribosomal RNA
Source: RNAcentral
GCGUUGUCCGGAAUUAUUGGGCGUAAAGAGCUCGUAGGCGGUUUGUCGCGUCUGCUGUGAAAUUCCAGGGCUUAACCCUGGACCUGCAGUGGGUACGGGCAGACUAGAGUGCGGUAGGGGAGAUCGGAAUUCCUGGUGUAGCGGUGAAAUGCGCAGAUAUCAGGAGGAACACCGGUGGCGAAGGCGGAUCUCUGGGCCGUAACUGACGCUGAGGAGCGAAAGCAUG